This 1629-nucleotide ribosomal RNA is filed under the name Escherichia coli. Its description in RNAcentral is "partial 23S ribosomal RNA". It matches the Rfam family "Bacterial large subunit ribosomal RNA", at positions 1233 to 2841 of the family's 2925-position model. The record is from RNAcentral. Lineage: Bacteria; Pseudomonadati; Pseudomonadota; Gammaproteobacteria; Enterobacterales; Enterobacteriaceae. RNAcentral also lists the same sequence under 1 other name.
GGAGCGUUCUGUAAGCCUGCGAAGGUGUGCUGUGAGGCAUGCUGGAGGUAUCAGAAGUGCGAAUGCUGACAUAAGUAACGAUAAAGCGGGUGAAAAGCCCGCUCGCCGGAAGACCAAGGGUUCCUGUCCAACGUUAAUCGGGGCAGGGUGAGUCGACCCCUAAGGCGAGGCCGAAAGGCGUAGUCGAUGGGAAACAGGUUAAUAUUCCUGUACUUGGUGUUACUGCGAAGGGGGGACGGAGAAGGCUAUGUUGGCCGGGCGACGGUUGUCCCGGUUUAAGCGUGUAGGCUGGUUUUCCAGGCAAAUCCGGAAAAUCAAGGCUGAGGCGUGAUGACGAGGCACUACGGUGCUGAAGCAACAAAUGCCCUGCUUCCAGGAAAAGCCUCUAAGCAUCAGGUAACAUCAAAUCGUACCCCAAACCGACACAGGUGGUCAGGUAGAGAAUACCAAGGCGCUUGAGAGAACUCGGGUGAAGGAACUAGGCAAAAUGGUGCCGUAACUUCGGGAGAAGGCACGCUGAUAUGUAGGUGAAGUCCCUUGCGGAUGGAGCUGAAAUCAGUCGAAGAUACCAGCUGGCUGCAACUGUUUAUUAAAAACACAGCACUGUGCAAACACGAAAGUGGACGUAUACGGUGUGACGCCUGCCCGGUGCCGGAAGGUUAAUUGAUGGGGUCAGCGCAAGCGAAGCUCUUGAUCGAAGCCCCGGUAAACGGCGGCCGUAACUAUAACGGUCCUAAGGUAGCGAAAUUCCUUGUCGGGUAAGUUCCGACCUGCACGAAUGGCGUAAUGAUGGCCAGGCUGUCUCCACCCGAGACUCAGUGAAAUUGAACUCGCUGUGAAGAUGCAGUGUACCCGCGGCAAGACGGAAAGACCCCGUGAACCUUUACUAUAGCUUGACACUGAACAUUGAGCCUUGAUGUGUAGGAUAGGUGGGAGGCUUUGAAGUGUGGACGCCAGUCUGCAUGGAGCCGGCCUUGAAAUACCACCCUUUAAUGUUUGAUGUUCUAACGUGGACCCGUGAUCCGGGUUGCGGACAGUGUCUGGUGGGUAGUUUGACUGGGGCGGUCUCCUCCUAAAGAGUAACGGAGGAGCACGAAGGUUGGCUAAUCCUGGUCGGACAUCAGGAGGUUAGUGCAAUGGCAUAAGCCAGCUUGACUGCGAGCGUGACGGCGCGAGCAGGUGCGAAAGCAGGUCAUAGUGAUCCGGUGGUUCUGAAUGGAAGGGCCAUCGCUCAACGGAUAAAAGGUACUCCGGGGAUAACAGGCUGAUACCGCCCAAGAGUUCAUAUCGACGGCGGUGUUUGGCACCUCGAUGUCGGCUCAUCACAUCCUGGGGCUGAAGUAGGUCCCAAGGGUAUGGCUGUUCGCCAUUUAAAGUGGUACGCGAGCUGGGUUUAGAACGUCGUGAGACAGUUCGGUCCCUAUCUGCCGUGGGCGCUGGAGAACUGAGGGGGGCUGCUCCUAGUACGAGAGGACCGGAGUGGACGCAUCACUGGUGUUCGGGUUGUCAUGCCAAUGGCACUGCCCGGUAGCUAAAUGCGGAAGAGAUAAGUGCUGAAAGCAUCUAAGCACGAAACUUGCCCCGAGAUGAGUUCUCCCUGACCCUUUAAGGGUCCUGAAGGAACGUUGA